Non-coding RNA from Oryza brachyantha (malo sina), 192 nucleotides. NCBI's taxonomy places the organism in Eukaryota, Viridiplantae, Streptophyta, Magnoliopsida, Poales, Poaceae. The record is from Rfam.
AAUAACUUCAUUUUUCGUUUUUCCGUGUCCAACGUUCGACCAUUCGUCUUAUUCGAAAUUUUUUUGCGAUUAAUAUUUUUAUUAUUACUAGAUGAUAAAAUAUAGAUAAUACUUUAUACGUGACUAAUUUUUUUUAGUUUUUUGCAUAAAUUUUUCAAAUAAAACGAAUGGUCUAACUUUAAACAUGAAAAA